RNAcentral lists this ribosomal RNA (465 nucleotides) under uncultured bacterium. Its description in RNAcentral is "partial 16S ribosomal RNA". It matches the Rfam family "Bacterial small subunit ribosomal RNA", at positions 28 to 507 of the family's 1533-position model. The record is from RNAcentral.
GACGAACGCUGGCGGCGUGCUUAACACAUGCAAGUCGUACGGUAAGGCCCUUUCGGGGGUACCCGAGUGGCGUACGGGGGGGUAACACGUCAGUAAGCUGCCCACAACUUUGGGAUAACGCUACGAAACUGGUGCUAAUACUGGAUAUGUGCUCCUGCUGCAUGGUGGGUGUUGGAAAGCUCCGGCGGUUGUGGAUGGAGUUGCGGCCUAUCAGCGUGUUGGUGGGGUAGUGGGCUACCAAGGCGGCGACGGGUAGCCGGCCUGGGAGGGUGACCGGCCACAGUGGGACUGGGAUAGGGCCCCGACCCCGACGGGAGGCAGAAGUGGGGAAGGUGGAUCAAUGGGCGCAAGCCUGAGGCAGAUACGCCGCGUGCGGGAUGACGGCCUUGGGGUUGUAAUCCGCAUUCAGCAGGACCGAAGCUGUUAGUGACGGUACCUGCAGAAGAAGCACCGGCUAACUACGUG